This 476-nucleotide ribosomal RNA is filed under the name uncultured organism. RNAcentral's name for it is "partial 16S ribosomal RNA". It matches the Rfam family "Bacterial small subunit ribosomal RNA", at positions 332 to 799 of the family's 1533-position model. The record is from RNAcentral.
UACACUCCUGCGGGAGGCAGCAGUGGGGAAUAUUGCACAAUGGGCGCAAGCCUGAUGCAGCCAUGCCGCGUGUGUGAAGAAGGCCUUCGGGUUGUAAAGCACUUUCAGCGGGGAGGAAGGCGAUACGGUUAAUAACCGUGUUGAUUGACGUUACCCGCAGAAGAAGCACCGGCUAACUCCGUGCCAGCAGCCGCGGUAAUACGGAGGGUGCAAGCGUUAAUCGGAAUUACUGGGCGUAAAGCGCACGCAGGCGGUCUGUCAAGUCGGAUGUGAAAUCCCCGGGCUCAACCUGGGAACUGCAUUCGAAACUGGCAGGCUUGAGUCUUGUAGAGGGGGGUAGAAUUCCAGGUGUAGCGGUGAAAUGCGUAGAGAUCUGGAGGAAUACCGGUGGCGAAGGCGGCCCCCUGGACAAAGACUGACGCUCAGGUGCGAAAGCGUGGGGAGCAAACAGGAUUAGAAACCCCUGUAGUCCCAUG